AUGGGAGCGGAGACGAGCCUCUCCCCGUCGCCGCUGGAUCCGACCAUGUCGCGGGAUCGAGAGAACCAACAAAACAACGAUCUGGAGUCGGUGUCGUUCGGGCGAUUUCUAUCAGAGCCACUUCAGUGGGAUACCACGGCGCAUGUCUGGCCGGCACCAAUGGCUACCAUAGCGCAUGUGCAAUCACCGCCGGCAGCUGAGCUCGAUUUAUCGGUACAUGUCAAUAUUUUGUGCCAGUUGCAGUGGUCGGACCUCAAUCUGCCUCCUCCAAUUGCGGUGCUACUUGCAUUGGUAGUUCUGGACCAGACCAGAGUUGUUGUAGUCCAUGCUUGCCAGCAGCUCGAAGUGCAACCCAUAUGGGAGGAGCGGAGCUCUAUAUGGUGUGCAUUUUUGCCCAACACAGGAUGGCGUGCAAGGAGAAUAUGA
This 426-nucleotide ribosomal RNA is filed under the name Triticum aestivum (bread wheat). Its description in RNAcentral is "partial small subunit ribosomal RNA". The record is from RNAcentral. Lineage: Eukaryota; Viridiplantae; Streptophyta; Magnoliopsida; Poales; Poaceae.